RNAcentral lists this ribosomal RNA (301 nucleotides) under uncultured bacterium. RNAcentral's name for it is "partial 16S ribosomal RNA". It matches the Rfam family "Bacterial small subunit ribosomal RNA", at positions 509 to 807 of the family's 1533-position model. The record is from RNAcentral.
CAGUCGCCACGGUAAUACGUAGGUGGCAAGCGUUGUCCGGAAUUAUUGGGCGUAAAGGGCUCGCAGGCGGUUUCCUAAGUCUGAUGUGAAAGCCCCCGGCUCAACCGGGGAGGGUCAUUGGAAACUGGGAAACUUGAGUGCAGAAGAGGAGAGUGGAAUUCCACGUGUAGCGGUGAAAUGCGUAGAGAUGUGGAGGAACACCAGUGGCGAAGGCGACUCUCUGGUCUGUAACUGACGCUGAGGAGCGAAAGCGUGGGGAGCGAACAGGAUUAGAUACCCCCGUAGUCCCUGUCUCUUAUAC